RNAcentral lists this long non-coding RNA (436 nucleotides) under Rattus norvegicus (Norway rat). Its description in RNAcentral is "long non-coding RNA NONRATT026377". Lineage: Eukaryota; Metazoa; Chordata; Mammalia; Rodentia; Muridae. The record is from RNAcentral.
UCAGUUCAGUUCAGACACGGAUGGUGACUGCAGUCGCCUCAAUACUCUGAAUAUGAGCAAUUGCUUAAGUAUUUUCCAAGGUAGCUGGACCACUUUGUCCUCUUCCCAGCAGCCUGGAUGCUGGGUACACACCUGCGUUUGGGGAGUGGCUGAACUGGGGAAGGCUUUAGUGGGCAGUGUGAGUAUAGGAAUGCUUCAGUAACUUUCUUUGGCCAUGACACAGGAGAGCAAUGGUCAGCAGAGUCAACUGGCAGUGGAGCCCCCCUCAGACCAUGGGGUCUAUCCUUUCCAGUUCAGCAAGUAGUGAGGUCCGGACUUAAAGAAGCUUAUGCACUCCUCCUUGGGCUGUUUUCCCAUUGCUGAUGGAACCUGAGGAACCAUGUUGUUUUUCGAAUGUGCUACUACAUUCAAGAUCAAAAAGACUUUUUUCUUUUGC